This is a non-coding RNA of Macrostomum lignano, 114 nucleotides long. The record is from Rfam. NCBI's taxonomy places the organism in Eukaryota, Metazoa, Platyhelminthes, Macrostomidae.
GUCGGCUAUGGCGACUAUGUCCCGCGUAGUCUACCAGGAAAGCUUGUUGGCAGCAUCUGUGUAGUGGCUGGCGUGAUGACUAUUGCCCUGCCAGUGCCGGUUAUUGUCACAAAC